This 268-nucleotide long non-coding RNA is filed under the name Carica papaya (papaya). RNAcentral describes it as "long non-coding RNA (CPAP_LNC008181)". The record is from RNAcentral. Lineage: Eukaryota; Viridiplantae; Streptophyta; Magnoliopsida; Brassicales; Caricaceae.
CUUAGCCGAGGCUAAAACCGUGACAGAUGGUUAUUAUGUGAUUCUUGCUCCUUUUUUGUUGUUUUGCCAAACCUUGGGCUCCAUUUCCUACCCUGCAUUAAAACAGAUAAAAUAGUUCAAAUUAGAUAAUAAGCUAUUCAAUUAAGUACUCAAAAGUGGAUAAUGGAAAUGUUGUCUUCAUGCAUUAUCAUUUACAUACUGAAUCUGAUGUUAUUUCUUGAUUGGAACCUAUUCAUAAUUGAUUCUUAUUUUACUUUAAUCUAUUGGU